UAGGGAAUCUUCGGCAAUGGGGGGAACCCUGACCGAGCAACGCCGCGUGAGUGAAGAAGGUUUUCGGAUCGUAAAGCUCUGUUGUUAAGGAAGAACGAGUGUGAGAAUGGAAAGUUCAUGCUGUGACGGUACUUAACCAGAAAGGGACGGCUAACUACGUGCCAGCAGCCGCGGUAAUACGUAGGUCCCGAGCGUUGUCCGGAUUUAUUGUGCGUAAAGCGAGCGCAGGCGGUUAGAAAAGUCUGAAGUGAAAGGCAGUGGCUCAACCAUUGUAGGCUUUGGAAACUGUUUAACUUGAGUGCAGAAGGGGAGAGUGGAAUUCCAUGUGUAGCGGUGAAAUGCGUAGAUAUAUGGAGGAACACCGGUGGCGAAAGCGGCUCUCUGGUCUGUAACUGACGCUGAGGCUCGAAAGCGUGGGGAGCGAACAGG
This 429-nucleotide ribosomal RNA is filed under the name Bacteroidota bacterium. RNAcentral's name for it is "Bacteroidetes bacterium partial 16S ribosomal RNA". It matches the Rfam family "Bacterial small subunit ribosomal RNA", at positions 355 to 776 of the family's 1533-position model. Lineage: Bacteria; Pseudomonadati; Bacteroidota. The record is from RNAcentral.